AGAGGGUGCGAGCGUUAAUCGGAAUUACUGGGCGUAAAGAGCACGUAGGUGGGUGCUUGAGUCGGAUGUGAAAGCCCUGGGCUUAACCCAGGAAUUGCAUUCGAUACUGGGCACCUAGAGUAUAGUAGAGGGAAGUGGAAUUUCCGGUGUAGCGGUGAAAUGCGUAGAUAUCGGAAGGAACAUCAGUGGCGAAGGCGACUUCCUGGACUAAUACUGACACUGAGGUGCGAAAGCGUGGGGGAGCAAACAGGAUUAGAGACCCUGGUAGUCCACGCCGUCAACGAUGAGAACUAGACGUUGGGAGGUUUACCUUUUAGUGUCGCAGCAAACGCGAUAAGUUCUCCGCCUGGGGAGUACGGCCGCAAGGCUA
RNAcentral lists this ribosomal RNA (370 nucleotides) under uncultured organism. RNAcentral describes it as "partial 16S ribosomal RNA". It matches the Rfam family "Bacterial small subunit ribosomal RNA", at positions 527 to 896 of the family's 1533-position model. The record is from RNAcentral.